GGAGUUGGCUGGCACGGCGGGGAAGCUCCUCUCGUUUCCGGGACGCACGGACUCGGCGAAGUAGCGGGUGGCACGCAUGGCGGCCUCCACCACGUUGCUGGCUCCGGGAACACCGGCGGCAGGUCCAUUGGGAUAGAAGUCAACAUCACCGGAGCGGAUGGGGGUGCCCAUGCCGUAGACCGAGGUGUGGAUGGCGUCAACGAAUUCAGCAUCACCGCGAGCCAGACCGGUCAGGGUGUUCUUGCUCUUGGCCACGAUCUUGGAGGGAUCCAGACCGGUGACACGGCGCAGCUUGUGUCCGGUGAGACGGGUGAAUUCCUGGGCAGCGGCACCGGCAACAUGGGCACCCACAUUCUGGCCAAUCAGGUGAAUGGUAUCGAAGGGCAUGUCCAACUCGUUGACCAUCUGGACGAUCCACUUGCCGAUCUUGGCGCCGGUCUUCUCAAUGUCGAGCAUGGCAUAACGCUCAUAGGUGUUCAGCUUGGAGCCCAAAUCGAUCACAAUGAUGUCGCCGCUUUGGGUCUUGGCGUUCUUAACCUCCUCGCUGUAGUCCUCCUCGCUGCUGGUCCUCUGGUUCUUCCUCUGUUCGUUGCUCUGAUCCUGGUAGUCCUGGUUGCCGUUCUUGCCGUGCUGGCGCUGCUGCUGCAGAUUGUAGCGCUGCAUGUAAGCCUGAACCAGCUUCCUGGUCGCCUUCUUCACGGUCUCGCUGGUCUGGGGCAGUCCGGUCACAAUGAUGGUCACCUCAUCCUCACCAAAGUUCUGCUUCUGCUUCAGGCGCUGGAUCAUCUCGUUCAGGGGAGCAACGGUCUUGUCACCAUUGGGCUUGGGCACAUAGACCUGGAUGCCGCUGGGCACAUAGUUGGGCUCAACGUUGU
Molecule: non-coding RNA, 875 nt
Organism: Drosophila melanogaster (fruit fly)
Lineage: Eukaryota; Metazoa; Arthropoda; Insecta; Diptera; Drosophilidae
Source: Ensembl